UUUGGCCAUUCCCUGUCUCUGCUCCAGAAAGCCAAGGGUUCAGAUGAAGAUUGGAAGGAGAAAAACAGAAGACUUUGAUCUUGAUCACAGCGACAGAUUCAGAGAUAUCUGAGUUUACUCUUCAGCAUUAAACCUUGGGCUCUUAGACCAGGAAAGUUGUGUGGUGUUGGCAGGGAGAAGAAAGGAGUUGACUGCAGCCCCUGGCUCCCAUGGUUGACUUUAACCUCCUGAAUGGACAACAUGGCAGGGCACAGGCAAUCCAACAAGUUUCUGAAGACUGGCAAGAACUAUUUCCUGACACUGCAGAUUCAUGAGCCAAUUAGAUGUGUGGCCACUGGAUAAUUUUCAAAGGCUCCUGGGCUCUGACCUUUGGCUCAGACUCCCACUGAUGAUGGAGGGCUCAAAGGAAGAAUACCAACAUCUUUGUCUUCUCACAGAGAGUGAGAUUCAGCAAAUGGAAGAGGAACACGAUAUUUCUGGAGUUUGUCAAUAAACCUCUAGGUGAAACAAAAGAAUUAUGUUUGCACUGCAGGUCAGAUCUGCUGAGAAAUGCCCUCAAACAUCAGUACAAUGGAGAAAUGUAUUCAAGAACAUUUCAUCCUUGUGAAAAUAUUACCCUGUUACAACAGCCAAGGUCACUGAGACCCAGAGUGAUAUUCUGGUCACAAAAGUUAAAGAUGCCUGGCGGCUACCAUAAUUAAAUUAUUAGUGUUAGGAGAAUAGGGAAAGCAGUUUUCCCACAAAUAUUUAUUUGAAUUUAAAAGUGACUUUAGACAUGACUUUGGUCAGAAAUCCUCUGUGUUCUGGUUGUUGUUUUUUUCUCCUCGAAAACAUUCAGACACUGAAGCUGGAUGGGAGCACCCAGGCCAUCCCAGUUUCCACAGCCUUCAGCUUCAGCCCAGCUGAAGAACAAAAGCAAUAAUCUCAGGUCUGCAUCGAACACAGUGAGCCUUUUGGAUGUUUGCAACUAUCAAUUUGCAUCUCAUGAACAAAAUCCAGGCAAUUAUCUAGGUUAGUUAACAGAAAGAUAAGAAAUGUUCAAUUCCCACCAGGGCACAUCUGUAGGCAAACCACCAACAUAAAGGAAUAUUAACAUUAAGAUAAACUACCUUGAUAAUCAUUAGCUACUUGUUUUCAUCUUUAAAAUCUUUAAAAAUCUUUAAAUUUUGUAUUGCCUGCCCAUUUGGAAAUAUUCAUUUGUUUGAUCUAAUUUCUGCUUUUUGGAUUUUGGUUAAUUUUCUUUUUUUUUUUCCCUCCUGAAAUGCUGAAGAAGCAAUUUCAUAGGCAAGUACACACAAUAUCCAAAAACCUACUAUCUCAAGGCCUCAGCACAAAGUGGAAAAUACGUCUUGGACUACUCUUUUUUUUUUUGUGGUUCGAAUUACAUGAAAAUGUACAACACUGAGUACGAGGGAAAUCAUGAGUUUACCACAAAACACUGUGCACACACUUGUGUAAAACUGAAGUACAAGAGGUGGUAAAAUGAUAGGUAUAGUAUAGCAUAUACUACAAUGCUGUGCUUUGGAAAACCAUGCUAGGUGUUUAACAGUUUUCAAUUGUUGUUUACAAUGCAGCUAAACAAAAGUAA
Non-coding RNA from Cyanistes caeruleus (blue tit), 1588 nucleotides. NCBI's taxonomy places the organism in Eukaryota, Metazoa, Chordata, Aves, Passeriformes, Paridae. The record is from RefSeq and is a predicted model, not a curated record.